This 464-nucleotide ribosomal RNA is filed under the name uncultured bacterium. Its description in RNAcentral is "partial 16S ribosomal RNA". It matches the Rfam family "Bacterial small subunit ribosomal RNA", at positions 339 to 795 of the family's 1533-position model. The record is from RNAcentral.
CUACGGGAGGCAGCAGUGGGGAAUAUUGGACAAUGGGCGGAAGCCUGAUCCAGCAAUGCCGCGUGUGUGAAGAAGGCCUGCGGGUUGUAAAGCACUUUCAGUCGGGAGGAAAAGGAUUCGGUUAAUACCCGGAUUCGUUGACGUAACCGACAGAAGAAGCACCGGCUAACUCCGUGCCAGCAGCCGCGGUAAUACGGAGGGUGCGAGCGUUAAUCGGAAUUACUGGGCGUAAAGCGCGCGUAGGCGGCUAGAUCAGUCGGGUGUGAAGGCCCCGGGCUUAACCUGGGAACUGCAUCCGAUACUGUCUAGCUUGAGUACAGGAGAGGAGAGUGGAAUUCCACAUGUAGCGGUGAAAUGCGUAGAUAUGUGGAGGAACACCAAUGGCGAAGGCAGCUCUCUGGCCUGAUACUGACGCUGAGGUGCGAAAGCGUGGGGAGCAAACAGGGUUAGAUACCCGGGUAGUC